Long non-coding RNA from Catharus ustulatus (Swainson's thrush), 2291 nucleotides. RefSeq lists it as uncharacterized. The record is from RefSeq and is a predicted model, not a curated record. Lineage: Eukaryota; Metazoa; Chordata; Aves; Passeriformes; Turdidae. The transcript has 7 exons.
AUGUACAGAUGAUUCGGGGACUCACCCAAGGGGAUCGGUGAUUGGUGCCCUGGAUCAUCAGCAUUUUUCAAGAUGACCAUUUGGAAACAACAUUUGGAGGAACAUUUGGGUUGCAUCCUCUAACUAAAUUUCCAAGCUGUUGGUAACGGACUAAAGAAAAUGUGGUCUGCACUGAAUACUAAAGAGCUGCAAAUAGUAGUCCCAUAGUGGCAAUGGAGCACAGUGGAAAUAAAAGGCAAGAGACACAUGCCAAGGAUGAAGUGUGUUCUAGAAGGGAUGAACCUGCAUCCCUCACCUGCAAAUAUGACCAAGGGUGAUCCUAUGGUGGCUGAAAUACAGUCCAGCUGGAGAAGAGAGCAAAAAGCAUAUUCAGAAGUCUAAAAAAUUAAUUGCUCUGUGUGGAAGGACUGAAUGAUUGAGGAUUGUCUAACCUAAACAAGGGUCUUAAAGAAGAUAAUGUGGCUUUUCAACUACAUGAGAAACACUGUUCCAAAGAAAAGGAUAUCAAGGAAAUGCUUUCCUAUGUUUCUGAGGAAAGAAGUACCAACAAGCUUCAAUUAUGGGACUUCAUUUUAUUUCUGCCCAUGGGAUCCCACUUCAAUUGCAGCUGUUUGAAUUAACAUUAACUUGCUGCAUCUCCUGUCUGAGGAAAGUGCAAGUGCUGUCAUGGCCAGGAGAACAAACAGAUACCUGAUACAUUACUUCAUCAGCAAAUUCAACAAGGCCAAGAUGUCUUCAUUUUCCUUCAGAGCAAGAGCAGUAAGAGCAGUGCGGUGGAAGCAUUGGUCUUCUGUGGCCAGCCGGCGAGAACCCAUCAACAGCUGUGAUGAGCAGAGCAGACAUGGGAGACAGGAGGCAGCUGAAGCCAAAGAGGACCCACGCCUGGAGCUGUGUCUGUGUGAUUGGAGCAGAGAGAGGCCAGGACCCAAGGAAAUCCCAGCAGCAAGGGAAAAAAACAGAUUGACUCUCAGUGACUCAUUUAGCUCCUGGAUUGGACAGAUCUCUCCCCUGCUGGCAAUUUGGCUGAGCAUCAAUAGACAGAUACCAGGAUGAAUAGCUUAAAAUAAUUAGGGGUUGGGAAUUUGCAAAACUGCUAGCCAUCCAAUUCUUUACUGUGCAAUGCGAGGCAGAAAAAAGAAAUUACAUUUAGGUUAUUAAAUAUUAAGUCAGUGGAUUUACUUCCAUUUGGUGCAGAACAGGAAACUGGCUAAAAUUCAACAUUUAUAUCAUUGUGUUGAUGGUCUGUUUAUCACUGAGCAAGUAAGUGCCUUUUGGCAGGUCAAGCUCUUUGACACAUGGGGCAAAUGUGUGCUUAAUUUCUCCCAAACAGAAGAAUUAAUAUAAUAAUAAUUAACAUAGAUGAGAACAGAAUUAAAAUCAAGUGCAGUCAGGAGUUCAGUUUAAUGCCAGGUGUCUCACAUUCUAGAUGUUCUGGGGCCAGAUUUUUCCUGUUGAAGGUAGCAGGGGUUUUGCCUUUGGCACUUACGGGAGCUGAAGUGGGCCUUGGAUGUAAAGAGACAGGAUUCCCAGUACUUUCUAUUUAAUGCAUAAAACCAGAAGCAACAGGCUCAUUUAGUAGCAGAAAAGGUCAGUUAAAAUUAUAGAGACAUCCUUUGGAGCAAAUCCUCUACCUUGUAUUUGCAUAUUUAUGAAUUAGAGAUUACGACAGGCUAUUUCAUUUAUUAGAGCAGCACUGCUAUAGUUAAUAGUGUGUCAGUAUUUCCAUUAUAAACCCCGUUUUGCAGUGUUUAAUAUCUCAGCCAGUUAAAAUCACAUCAGGAAGCAUGUUGGUCUUAUGUUGCUGGCCAGGUGCAAUUUUUUUGUUAUGGAUUAUUUUCAAUAAUGAAAUACUGCUCAUCAUAUAUGCAGAUGAGCCACAGCAUUUCUGUUGGAGGGACAUAGCAAGGUGCGUAGAUCCAUUGUGCCUUUGUUUUUCUUUAGGAAAGAAGGGAUAAGAGGGAUUUGACCAAUCCUGUCAGCUGUGGCCUUGUGUUUGAAGAACACUUUUUCAAGCAACUGCUGUCAAAGGAAACACUGGUUUUCAGUGGGAAAUCAGGUUGCUGUCUGCUUGCCAGUGGUGACCAAGGUAAACAGGGUUGACUGGUAUAAAAAAAAUGCUCACCUCGACCUUCUUUAUUGCUACAUGGAGGAAGCUCACUACAGAAAAGAGUACAGUUGUACUCUUUUCUACUGCUCGAGAUUUACUUGUGUCCCUGGUGUGUUGUGAUAAGCCUCUGAAUGUCACUGCUGUGAAGGUUUUGUUCUUCCCAAAGACUCUCCUGAGGUUCAGU